Molecule: long non-coding RNA, 625 nt
Organism: Hippopotamus amphibius kiboko
Lineage: Eukaryota; Metazoa; Chordata; Mammalia; Artiodactyla; Hippopotamidae
Exons: 3
Source: RefSeq, a predicted model, not a curated record
GCUGUGUUCACAGACAACCUCCCAGGCAACACAAUGCCUUCACCCAGCAAAACUGCAGAUAUCUCCAGAAAGCUCCUAGGAAAAUGACCAUGAUUUUAGCCUGAGUGGCCUUCCUGUACCUGCUUCUACAAUUAGGGAAAGAGAGGCAAAGAAGUGACGUGCACUGUCAAAGGUUGCCUGGCUGGUCUGUGUGGCAAGACUUUCUGCUCAACCCCAUCCAACAGAGCUGGAUUUCCACCUCUCCAGCAGGUGCUAAUACAGCCUGCGGGCCUACAGAUGAAUUGUAAGAAGAAAGGGAGGAGAAGGCUGUAGAUCAGGAGACUUCAAAGACAUAUCAACGGUUGAUAGGUGUACUGGAAGUCAGUUUUGGAGAAGCCAAGGAAAGGUCCACCCCAUCCGACAAAGCCUAUUGAUGAAUCAUUAAAGAAAAAAAAGCAAGAAAGAAACAAGAAAAUCUGCCAAGGAAUGCAUCAAAUAUAUUCCAGUUCUACCAACCAUCUAUAAUUUUCUACUUACCUAAUGGGUUUUUCAAAACCUAGUUAGGCCCUCAAAAUAUGUACCUUGAAAACAAUCUGGAAUAGCACAUAGUAUGGCAAAGAUAUUAGAGUGGCAAUUUCUGGGUGCU